Molecule: ribosomal RNA, 492 nt
Filed under: uncultured bacterium
Lineage: Bacteria
Description: partial 16S ribosomal RNA
Rfam family: Bacterial small subunit ribosomal RNA
Source: RNAcentral
AGUGAACGCUGGCGGUAGGCCUAACACAUGCAAGUCGAACGGCAGCACAGUAAGAGCUUGCUCUUACGGGUGGCGAGUGGCGGACGGGUGAGGAAUACAUCGGAAUCUACUUUUUCGGGGGGGAUAACGUAGGGAAACUUACGCUAAUACCGCAUACGACCUACGGGUGAAAGCAGGGGAUAUUCUGACCUUGCGCGAAUGGAUGAGCCGAUGUCGGAUUAGCUAGUUGGCGGGGUAAAGGCCCACCAAGGCGACGAUCCGUAGCUGGUCUGAGAGGAUGAUCAGCCACACUGGAACUGGGACACGGUCCAGACUCCUACGGGAGGCAGCAGUGGGGAAUAUUGGACAAUGGGCGCAAGCCUGAUCCAGCCAUACCGCGUGUGUGAAGAAGGCCUUCGGGUUGUAAAGCCCUUUUGUUGGGAAAGAAAAGCAGCAGGUUAAUACCCCGCUGUUCUGACGGUACCCAAAGAGUAAGCACCGGCUAACUUCGUG